UACGGAGGGUGCGAGCGUUGUCCGGAAUCACUGGGCGUAAAGGGCGCGUAGGCGGCGCGGGAAGUCCGUGGUGAAAGCCCGAGGCUCAACUUCGGGUCGGCCAUGGAUACUCCUGGGCUUGAGCACUGUAGAGGCGGGUGGAAUUCCGGGUGUAGCGGUGGAAUGCGUAGAGAUCCGGAAGAACACCAGUGGCGAAGGCGGCCCGCUGGGCAGUGGCUGACGCUGAGGCGCGACAGCGUGGGGAGCAAACAGG
RNAcentral lists this ribosomal RNA (253 nucleotides) under uncultured bacterium. RNAcentral's name for it is "partial 16S ribosomal RNA". It matches the Rfam family "Bacterial small subunit ribosomal RNA", at positions 524 to 776 of the family's 1533-position model. The record is from RNAcentral.